RNAcentral lists this ribosomal RNA (301 nucleotides) under uncultured bacterium. Its description in RNAcentral is "partial 16S ribosomal RNA". It matches the Rfam family "Bacterial small subunit ribosomal RNA", at positions 509 to 807 of the family's 1533-position model. The record is from RNAcentral.
CAGCAGCCGCGGUAAUACGGAGGGCGCGAGCGUUACCCGGAUUUACUGGGCGUAAAGGGCGUGUAGGCGGCCUGGGGCAUCCCAUGUGAAAGGCCACGGCUCAACCGUGGAGGAGCGUGGGAUACGCUCAGGCUAGAGGGUGGGAGAGGGUGGUGGAAUUCACGGAGUAGCGGUGAAAUGCGCAGAUACCGGGAGGAACGCCGAUGGCGAAGGCAGCCACCUGGUCCACUUCUGACGCUGAGGCGCGAAAGCGUGGGGAGCAAACCGGAUUAGAUACCCGGGUAGUCCCUGUCUCUUAUAC